This 433-nucleotide ribosomal RNA is filed under the name uncultured bacterium. RNAcentral describes it as "partial 16S ribosomal RNA". It matches the Rfam family "Bacterial small subunit ribosomal RNA", at positions 29 to 507 of the family's 1533-position model. The record is from RNAcentral.
AACGAACGCUGGCGGCAUGCCUAACACAUGCAAGUCGAACGAGACCUUCGGGUCUAGUGGCGCACGGGUGCGUAACGCGUGGGAACCUGCCCUUAGGUUCGGAAUAACUCCCCGAAAGGGGUGCUAAUACCGGAUAAUGUCUUCGGACCAAAGAUUUAUCGCCUUUGGAUGGGCCCGCGUUGGAUUAGCUAGUUGGUAGGGUAAAAGCCUACCAAGGCGACGAUCCAUAGCUGGUCUGAGAGGAUGAUCAACCACACUGGGACUGAGACACGGCCCAGACUCCUACGGGAGGGAGCAGUGGGGAAUAUUGGACAAUGGGCGAAAGCCUAAUACAGCAAUGCCGCGGAAGUGAUGAUGGCCUUAGGGUUGUAAAGCUCUUUUACCCGGGAUGAUAAUGACAGUACCGGGAGAAUAAGCUCCGGCUAACUCCGUG